RNAcentral lists this ribosomal RNA (463 nucleotides) under uncultured bacterium. RNAcentral's name for it is "partial 16S ribosomal RNA". It matches the Rfam family "Bacterial small subunit ribosomal RNA", at positions 28 to 507 of the family's 1533-position model. The record is from RNAcentral.
GACGAACGCUGGCGGCGUGCUUAACACAUGCAAGUCGAACGGUGAACCUCUUCGGAGGGGAUCAGUGGCGAACGGGUGAGUAACACGUGGGCAACCUGCCCCCGGCUCUGGGAUAACUCCAAGAAAUUGGGGCUAAUACCGGAUGUUCACCGCUUCCCGCAUGGGUGGUGGUGGAAAGGGUUUCCGGCUGGGGAUGGGCCCGCGGCCUAUCAGCUUGUUGGUGGGGUAGUGGCCUACCAAGGCGACGACGGGUAGCCGGCCUGAGAGGGUGACCGGCCACACCGGGACUGAGACACGGCCCAGACUCCUACGGGAGGCAGCAGUGGGGAAUAUUGCGCAAUGGGCGGAAGCCUGACGCAGCGACGCCGCGUGGGGGAUGACGGCCUUCGGGUUGUAAACCUCUUUCAGCAGGGACGAAGCGCAAGUGACGGUACCUGCAGAAGAAGCACCGGCCAACUACGUG